Molecule: ribosomal RNA, 110 nt
Organism: Scophthalmus maximus (turbot)
Lineage: Eukaryota; Metazoa; Chordata; Actinopteri; Pleuronectiformes; Scophthalmidae
Source: Ensembl
GCUUACGGCCACACCGCCUGGUAUCACGCUUGAUCUCGGAAGAUAAGAUAGGUUGGGCCUGGUUAGUACUUGGAUGGGAGACCGCCUGGGAAUACCAGGUGCUGUAAGCU